RNAcentral lists this ribosomal RNA (469 nucleotides) under uncultured bacterium. RNAcentral's name for it is "bacterial SSU rRNA". It matches the Rfam family "Bacterial small subunit ribosomal RNA", at positions 28 to 524 of the family's 1533-position model. The record is from RNAcentral.
GAUGAACGCUGGCGGCGUGCCUAACACAUGCAAGUCGAGCGAUUCUCUUCGGAGAAGAGCGGCGGACGGGUGAGUAACGCGUGGGUAACCUGCCCUGUACACACGGAUAACAUACCGAAAGGUAUGCUAAUACGAGAUAAUAUGCUUUUAUCGCAUGGUAGAAGUAUCAAAGCUCCGGCGGUACAGGAUGGACCCGCGUCUGAUUAGCUAGUUGGUAAGGUAACGGCUUACCAAGGCGACGAUCAGUAGCCGACCUGAGAGGGUGAUCGGCCACAUUGGAACUGAGACACGGUCCAAACUCCUACGGGAGGCAGCAGUGGGGAAUAUUGCACAAUGGGCGAAAGCCUGAUGCAGCAACGCCGCGUGAGCGAUGAAGGCCUUCGGUCGUAAAGCUCUGUCCUCAAGGAAGAUAAUGACGGUACUUGAGGAGGAAGACCCCGGCUAACUACGUGCCAGCAGCCGCGGUAAU